This 253-nucleotide ribosomal RNA is filed under the name uncultured bacterium. RNAcentral's name for it is "partial 16S ribosomal RNA". It matches the Rfam family "Bacterial small subunit ribosomal RNA", at positions 524 to 776 of the family's 1533-position model. The record is from RNAcentral.
GACGAACCGAGCGAACGUUGUUCGGAAUCACUGGGCUUAAAGGGCGCGUAGGCGGGCUGUCAAGUUUGGGGUGAAAUCCCGCGGCUCAACCGUGGAACUGCCUCAAAUACUGACGGUCUCGAGGGAGGUAGGGGCGAGCGGAACUGAUGGUGGAGCGGUGAAAUGCGUUGAUAUCAUCAGGAACUCCGGUGGCGAAGGCGGCUCGCUGGACCGGUAUUGACGCUGAGGCGCGAAAGCCAGGGGAGCAAACGGG